Molecule: long non-coding RNA, 1082 nt
Filed under: Equus caballus (horse)
Lineage: Eukaryota; Metazoa; Chordata; Mammalia; Perissodactyla; Equidae
Description: lncRNA (ENSECAG00000049938.1)
Source: RNAcentral
AAAGCCUAGGUAGUAAUUUUCUUUUGUUUUUUGUUUUUAUCACUUAGGGAUAUUAUUUAGGAAACAGUGGUACACUAAGUUAAAUUAUCUGCUUGAAGCAAAGAGAAAACAUCUAUGAAAGAUCUGUAAGUAAUAAAUACAAUCUUUAAAGAGAGCAUAAGGAUUUUCUAUAUGAACCUCAAAUCAGUUAAUUACCUCCCCUUAUAUUCACUGCCAUCUUUCUCUUCCUAUUGGUAUCAUUUCUCAUAAGGCUGUUCAAAUCAUAUUUUAACUGGAUCUUUUCUUUCCAGUCCCCCUCUUCCAGUAGCUUAAUUAGCAGAAUAAUCUUCUUGAAGCCUAAGUACAAUCUUACCAAAGCUCUGAUGUAAAAUUUCUAUUUCAGGCCUAAUACAUUUCCAGUGUCCCAAGGAAAAUUUCAUUUAAGGCCUUGCCACAAUUUCUUGACUGUCUUACCAAUCCAUGGUGAUCCUAUACAUUCAUUUUCAUACUACUUCCUGCUUUGUUUCUCGAUGGCCUUUAAUUUCCAUUUGUGAGUGUCUUUUGUGUCCUGGUUAAAGAAAGUCCUCAAUUCAUGAUUCAUUACAAAAAUAGCUUAAUUUCUGCCUUCAAGUGCUGUGUAUUAAAAUACUUUUGGCUUCGUAUCAACCAUAUAUGUGUAACAUCUCUGCAGUCACUGAGGGCUUUUUCCAGCGUGUUUAUCCACUUGAUUAUUGAGACUCAAGUGUUGAUUUUGGAUUUCAUUACGGUCAGCAAUACCAAGUCCUUCACAAAACAGUAAUAAUAACUUUUAAUAUCUUCUCCCACUUUUCCCUCAUAUACACAAUUCUCCAACUUUUUGUAACAUAGCACAUGCAGAAAAUUGUUUAUAAGGACCAUAUCAUAAAUGAAGGUGGAUGCUGCAGAGAUGACAAGCUGAGGACUGCUGCUGAUGCAUGCAAAUUAGACGUACAUUUUGGCACACAAGUAAUUCAUUCAAGAUAUGCACAUCAGUUUCUAAAGAUCACCAGUUAGGAAGAUUUUCCUUAUAGAAUAUAUUUGAUUAUUGAAUACUAUAGAUGAUAAUUUAAUUUUUAAAAAAGAAA